This 274-nucleotide ribosomal RNA is filed under the name uncultured bacterium. RNAcentral's name for it is "partial 16S ribosomal RNA". It matches the Rfam family "Bacterial small subunit ribosomal RNA", at positions 523 to 796 of the family's 1533-position model. The record is from RNAcentral.
AUACGGAGGGUGCAAGCGUUACUCGGAAUCACUGGGCGUAAAGCGCGCGCAGGCGGCUAUUUAAGUUGGAUGUGAAAGCCUACGGCUCAACCGUAGAACUGCAUCCAAAACUAUUUAGCUAGAGGGUGGGAGAGGAAGAUGGAAUUAGUUGUGUAGGGGUAAAAUCCGUAGAGAUAACUAGGAAUACCAAAAGCGAAGGCAAUCUUCUGGAACACUACUGACGCUGAGGCGCGAAAGCGUGGGGAGCAAACAGGAUUAGAAACCCUAGUAGUCC